CCCCGCCCCCGUAUCAUGACAAACAAAAGAGGAUAUGAGAUGUAUUUAUUCUUUUGUAAGACGCAGAAGUAUCAAUUCCAGGAGAUGUUGAGUUUUCCUCAUUUACUUUGGAGUUUAUGUAAACUGAGACUUGUCUUCUUCAAGAUGCUCGUGACAUAGUAAAGAAGGCCUCCAGGCAAACGAAUGCAGAUAGCCCAGCCUGGAAAGAACACUGAAUCACCCUCCCGGGGCCUGAAAGAUAGCAUCCACAACAGGAAACAAAAUCGAGAAAGAUAUCUCUUCAUUUUGUGGAAGUGUCUGCUUGGAAGCCCCAGAGCUGAGAGGAGUAGGAGGUGAUGGUGAGUCUGGAGGAGAGAGAGGGGCAAUCAUUCAGCAUCGAUGUGUCUCAUCGGAGGGUCAGGUUCUGAAGCCAGCCACAAGAUGAAGACCACAGACAAUCAAAACUGCCCUUGAACCUCUCUUAGGAGGGUGCCAUGCCAGGGACUGGUGGACUGUUUCUCAGCCAGUACCUGCCCCGUGCCCCCCUACUCUGACCCUCUCUUUUUCACAUAAUCAAACUUACAAAAGUUAAAUGCAUGUAGAAUUUGACUCCACUGUUCUACCUAGUCCACAGGGAAGACUGAACGAAGUACUAAUAAAAUAUUCUAGAAUCAAGGUCUACAUGAAGGGUAUUUCUUUAAUUUGGUGGAGUUUCUUAGUUAAAGAAGAGAUGGCUAAACUCCAGAAUCAGUUUUUGUUUUGUUUUGCUAUGGAGGCUUCAAAAAAGGGAAGCUUUUGUAUGGAUAUCCCUGGGAAAAGGAGAAUGAAUUUUAUGAUUACUGAAUUUAGAGAAAUUUAAAUGCAAAAGGAAAUCUGUCUCUGCUGCCCUCGCCCUCCUCUUCCCAUCCCUUAAAAAACAAAAACAAAAUUCCUGGUUUUCUCGUAUUUCCUCUUGAAGACUUGAUUCAGGCAUCAAAGCCUUCGAUGGAGACCAGUUUCCUCAACAUGUUGCUCUUUCUGCCUCCCUCUCCC
This is a long non-coding RNA of Zalophus californianus (California sea lion), 1011 nucleotides long. RefSeq lists it as uncharacterized. The record is from RefSeq and is a predicted model, not a curated record. The transcript is spliced from 4 exons. NCBI's taxonomy places the organism in Eukaryota, Metazoa, Chordata, Mammalia, Carnivora, Otariidae.